CUCCAGCUUGCUGGGGUGGAUUAGUGGCGAACGGGUGAGUAACACGUGAGUAACCUGCCCUUCACUUUGGGAUAAGCCUUGGAAACGGGGUCUAAUACCGGGUAUGCACAUACUGUCGCAUGGUGGUGUGUGGAAAGCUUUUGUGGUGGAGGAUGGACUCGCGGCCUAUCAGCUUGAUGGUGGGGUAGUGGCCUACCAUGGCUUUGACGGGUAGCCGGCCUGAGAGGGUGACCGGCCACACUGGGACUGAGACACGGCCCAGACUCCUACGGGAGGCAGCAGUGGGGAAUAUUGCACAAUGGGCGGAAGCCUGAUGCAGCGACGCCGCGUGGGGGAUGAAGGCUUUCGGGUCGUAAACUCCUUUCAGCAGGGACGAAGCUUUUGUGACGGUACCUGCAGAAGAAGCACCGGCUAACUACGUGCCAGCAGCCGCGGUAAUACGUAGGGUGCGAGCGUUGUCCGGAAUUAUUGGGCGUAAAGAGCUUGUAGGCGGUUUGUCGCGUCUGCCGUGAAAGCCCAGGGCUUAACCCUGGGUCUGCGGUGGGUACGGGCAGACUAGAGUGUGGUAGGGGAGACUGGAAUUCCUGGUGUAGCGGUGAAAUGCGCAGAUAUCAGGAGGAACACCGAUGGCGAAGGCAGGUCUCUGGGCCACUACUGACGCUGAGAAGCGAAAGCAUGGGGAGCAAACAGGAUUAGAUACCCUGGUAGUCCAUGCCGUAAACGUUGGGAACUAGGUGUGG
Molecule: ribosomal RNA, 740 nt
Filed under: Dermacoccus sp.
Lineage: Bacteria; Bacillati; Actinomycetota; Actinomycetes; Micrococcales; Dermacoccaceae
Description: bacterial SSU rRNA
Rfam family: Bacterial small subunit ribosomal RNA
Source: RNAcentral